CUCUACUUCAGAAUCUAAUUAGCUUUCUAGAUAAGGCUUAGGCUGAAGUUUGUUUCUCCAGUCUCUGGGGAAUUAAACACCACAUAAAUUCCUCCAAGACAGAGAAGGCAGAGGGAACAGAAAAGAUUGCAAAUUGUGGUUUAUAUGUUGAAGGAAGAAACCAGAAACUAUUUAAUGGAAAACAAGGAUAGAAGCAAAUGUGAAAUCUAGAUAAAAAUAGAAAAAACCAACUUGCUGUUUAGGUUUAAUUGUCUGUGAGGAUAAGAUAAUCUCCUGACAAAAGUCCUGUAGGCUUGGGGGGAAAAGCUAGAAAAAUCUCAGGGAAGAGUACUGAAAAUGAUCAUCAGCAUGGAAUAUUUUCCAUACAAGGAGAGGCUAAAUAGAAGUGCGCCCCUUGGAAAGCAGAGGACUAAAUCACAGAGGUGUACAAAAUAUAUAAAUUAUGCUCCACACAUGGCAUGGAAGAGGUAAGUGAGGAACUGUAGCCAUUAUUUCUUACUGUACAAGCACACCAUGAAAUCAUCAGCAGGUCCUGAACAAACAGAAGGAAGUAUUUCUGCAAGCAGUCUAUAAUUAAAUUGUGGAACUCAUUGCUACAGGAUGCCAUGGAAGCUGAAAGCAUAAAUGAAUUAAAAAUGAGAUUAGACAAAUUUAUGGAUUUGCCUCCAUCAAAGGCUGUUAAACAGAAGGAUGUGGUUUCAAUAUCUGACUCAGGAAAUCUUUCAGCAAAGAUUGCAGGAAAUCUGCAAGGAUAUGUUGAGGAAGGAGAGCAGAGGAUUUUCAGUCCUUGUGAAAGGGAUCAUUUGGCACCUGAUUUUCCCCUGUGCACAUUCUCUAAACAGCUGAAACUGGAUUGUCUCAGACACAGGAUGCUGAACAAUCCUUUGGCUUGACUCAUUAUGACUCUUUAUAAUUCUUACUUUAUUUCAUUUCUCCUUUCCCUUUAUCUGCCUUCAGUUUUUAUGACCAAGCCAUUGGAUGAACAAAGUCUCUCAGUAGCAGAGGCAGCUGCUGUCUGACCAGACUUCACAACCCUUUUUGACUUCUGGGGUUGUUGGACAGUUUUAGCUGUGUCUUGUCUUAAUGCUCAGCACCUGGAAAAAGCAGGGAGGAUUUUCAAUUAACUCCUGGGUGCAUGAGCCAUAGAAUUAAUUUCCUUUGAUGCACACUGGAAGUUUUUUGAAGACUCUGCUAGGCAAGACUGGGCAAACGUCUGAGGCACACCAUGGACUGAAGGCACAGCUCUAACUGCUGGGGAUGACUGUGAGCUGAGCUGGGCUAAAAAAAAUCUAAUGAAUUUCCAUUAUCUAAAAGAGCACUUAAAAGCACAACUAAAAAAAAUGUGCAAACAAUCCAGCACUGGAACAGGAUGCAAACACCAGUCAGGAGAAAAAAAAUUGAGCAACUAGGAAAUGGAAUCUGGAAAUUAGUUGUAAAAAAUUACCUCCUUUGUAAGCUGAUACAUCUGGGAAUCACUCUCCCUUUCCUCUUCCCCAUAUUCCUAUUCUCAAGGGGAGGCAGGAAUGUAAGUAGGUGCAUAAAAAGCAGAGGUUAAGUGCACAGCAGCAGGGAAGUGAAAUGACAGUGAUAUAU
Long non-coding RNA from Passer domesticus (house sparrow), 1593 nucleotides. RefSeq lists it as uncharacterized. NCBI's taxonomy places the organism in Eukaryota, Metazoa, Chordata, Aves, Passeriformes, Passeridae. The record is from RefSeq and is a predicted model, not a curated record. The transcript is spliced from 4 exons.